This is a long non-coding RNA of Fukomys damarensis (Damara mole-rat), 1023 nucleotides long. RefSeq lists it as uncharacterized. The transcript has 4 exons. Lineage: Eukaryota; Metazoa; Chordata; Mammalia; Rodentia; Bathyergidae. The record is from RefSeq and is a predicted model, not a curated record.
GUGGGGCUGUGGGGGCGGCCGCGUGCUGCCUGCGGGCUCAGUACUCAACGGCGGGAUUAAUUAAACCCCUGACCUGAGGUCAUGAGCAAGGCUGUGGCAGUUUUUCAUAGGAGGGCCGCCUUUUCCUAAAGAGCAAAUGGGGCUUCCAGAGGAUGCGGAAGAUGCUGGCACUUCUGGGACACGUGGCAGCUGGCAGCUGUCCCUAUCCAAAGACAGACUGCACAUCCCGUAGAUGGCCACGUCGACGUCGUUACUCUGGACAAGUGUGCAAUGCCGAGGUUGAAUGCUCAGCAGAGCGCCUUUUUAAAAAUCUAGAGCCAAGAGCAUCGCCGCGUUCCCCGGAUCCCCUAACCCUGCACCCUUUUGAGAGAAGAUCUCACUAAGUCACCAGUUUGCCCAGGCUGGGCUGGAACUUAUCCUGUCCUCCUGCAUCAGCCGCCCGGAGUCCUGGGACUGCAGGGAACCCUGCUUGCACAGAAACUGCCGGGAGAUCAACACCCAAACCCGGGAGUUCUCUGGGGAACAAUGUCAGCGGGAAACAGAGAGUUUGCAGGUUCAUUGGUGCCAACUAGGAAGUGGGGACACAGAAGAUGAGAGACCGUGCACGGUGUUCUGAGGGAUUUGGGGAAGUGGGUUUGGGUCUGUGCCCUCUGGCCGUUAACACCCUGGCGGGGAGACUGGACUUGUGUGUAUUUCACAGCUGGAGAACAGAGGAUGUGUUAUAAUCCUACUAAGCUGCACGGUUUAAUGGAGUUUCGUGGGACUCAGAGAGGUUGUGAGGGUUCCAGCCAGCUCAGUAGCAUCCUUUCUUUCUUUUUCUUUCUUUCUUUCUGGUGGUACCAGGGAUUGAACUCAGGACUUUGCGUUUGCGAGACAUGCGCGGUGCCACUGAGCUCCAUCCCCAGCUCAGCAGCGUUCUUUCUGUGGGACGUGCUCUGCCGCUCUACAGAUCCCCCAGGAAAGCGUGAAGGGAAGAGGGUGGAGAGGGACAGGAGGAGGAGGAAGGGACGAACGAACAAAUGA